This 662-nucleotide long non-coding RNA is filed under the name Macaca mulatta (Rhesus monkey). RNAcentral's name for it is "lncRNA (ENSMMUG00000055970.1)". Lineage: Eukaryota; Metazoa; Chordata; Mammalia; Primates; Cercopithecidae. The record is from RNAcentral.
AUGCCUCAGUUUCCUCUUCAGUGCAGUUUCCUCUCCCCCUCACAGUGCAAACAGACUGGAAAAGAUAUUACCAUAGAGACUUUAGAAUGUCUACAAGUGCAAGAAUUCUUUUUACAGGACAUUUCUCCUUUAGUCUAUGGCAACGAAUGCAUAUCCUCAUCACUUUCAAAGGCAGUGUUGGCUGGACUCAGAAUCAAGACAAGAGUGAUCAGGGUACUUCAUCUCCCUGCUGCAGCCCAGCAGAUUGUAAACUCUCUAAACAGUAACGACUGUCAAUCUGUUCCAUGGGAUGCCAAUGUGCACAGUAGGAGGGAAGUAGAGCACCUCUUAUCUACAAGCAAUACGUACUGUGCAGGCAUUUCACCUCUUUAUUCUUCUGUAAUCACUGCAACCACCUAUGUUCACAGAUGUCAGUAUGGAAAUUCAUAAAGGAUUUAAAGUGAAAUUUGUGGGGAAGAGGAAGCUACAGCUCAUAUUUCAAGGACUUGGAGCUGGAAGAAGACAUUCACUGUUUCCCACCCUUUUCCCCAGCAGAAACCAUCUCUAUCUACCUCCCAGAUCCUAUUUAUUGUAUUUAUUAUCUGUGAUGCACUUCACACACUAUAUGUAGUAGAGUUCCCUAAGAUUCCCUUUAAUUCAUUUUAAUAACCCAUUUAUUGAGC